This 7703-nucleotide long non-coding RNA is filed under the name Lynx pardinus (Iberian lynx). Lineage: Eukaryota; Metazoa; Chordata; Mammalia; Carnivora; Felidae. The record is from RNAcentral.
CUGAGGAAGUUUUCUUGUUCCAGGGGAGAGGUGUGACAGCAUGAGGCACCGCCUCAGCAUAAGCUCUCUGCGCGAGAAGCCACACACACACAGACGACAUGGCACAAGGGGAAAGCCCUGAAGAGCACACAAAGAUCAGCUUUUAAAAUAGGUGUGAUAAGGCUACACAGUUAAAUUUUGUAAAUACGAAUAGGCACAUUUACAUCACUGGUGUUCAAAUGCACAGUUCAAAUGGAUCCAAUCACUUUUCCAAACAGCCUUCCUUCAUAACACCAUUCAAACAUUCUGCUUAAGUAAAAUCAAGCACUAAAAAUACUCUAAAAAUUCAAAGAGGAAAUGUGUCCAUCUCUUAAGCCAAUGAUGUUACCUGUCUAAGGACCACCUUCCCCCAGCAAAGCAGUCUGGCUGUCACUAAGUUCCUUUUGGUACGAAAAGACAGUUUUUCUCCACCAACAUCAACACUGCCCAAGGCUUUAUUGUUGAAGUCAUAACAGCUGCCCAUUAAGAGGGAAUAAUCUAAGUGCAAAUUUUAGAAGUCACAGCUAUAUACCAUCUCAGUAAAAGAGCCUGAAUUCAUAGGAGAUACUGAACAAAAAUCAAAGAAGAUGCACAUUCCAAGUUCAAUUACAUGUGGUGUUAAUAUAUUAAUAUAUUAGGUCAAAUUAUGUGAAACUUUCACUUUUGUAGAUCAAAAAGGCAAAUACCACAAACUUCCUAUGGUUCAACCUAAUGUAAUUUAGAAGUGUAAACUAUUUAAAAUAUAUGUUGCCCUCUUAAUUAUCUUCUAGACUCUGUUUCUAAGGUGUCAGACCUAAACAUAAAGGCAAAGCUUUUUUCUCUGGAGUGAAAAUUUAGACCACUGCUAUCUAAGAGAACUGCCCUAGACCUAAGCAGUCCUAUGCCACACGUGGCUGCUGAGCACUUGGAAUGUGGUUUGUGUGACCAAAGAAGUGAGUUUGAAAUUUAAUUGAAAAAAAUAUAUAAUGUUUAUUUUUCGGGGGGGGGGGGGGGGGGGGGUGGGAGGGGCAGAGAGAGAGGAGAUACAGAAUCCGAAGCAGGCUCCAGGCUCUGAGCUGUCAGCACAGAAUCUAAUGUGGGGCUCGAACUCAGGAACCAAGAGAUCAUGACCUGAGCCAAAGUUGAACAUUUAACCUUCUGAGCCACCCACGGGCCCCUAAAUUUAAUUUUAAUUAAAAUUUAACCACAUAUAACUGGUGACCACCAUAGUGGAUAGUACAAGUUUAGACACAAUUGCAGUUUUCUCCUGGCCAUGUUAAAGUGUUGAGCAGCUGAUUUUUGCUCUGAGAGAAUAGGAGAUACACCUAGCUAAUACUGAAAUGGAGCCACAUCUUCUCUUGCAACUUCAAAUAUCCACCCUGAGGACAGCUGUUAGACUUUAUUUUACAUUCAUGCACUUAAAACUUGACAGUUUUUUCUUUUAAUAGAAAAAAACAAGAUUACCAAAAAGGCUGGUAGGUUGGCUUAAUAUGAAAUACAUUCUGCCCCUUGUGACUUGUAGACACUUGAGAAGAAAAUAAAGGCUGGAAUGAGAGAUGAACCUGAAAACAGUGCCUAGUCCUAAGGUGCAACCCUCUCUGGGAGUCCCUUUCUCUGAUUCCUUCAUCAGUGCUGCCACUGCCCCCCACCCCACCCCCAAAUCAACAAACUAACCUGGAACACUUGCAGAAAUCACAAAUACCUUUCUUAGAUGGAAUUCUGGUUCCAAAUUUCAAUUUGAGUUAAAUCUUAAUGGAGCCUGUACCUAUGUUUCUUGAACACAGUUUUAAAACCAAGACUGCUAAACUCAAGAAUAGAAACUCUGUUCACAGUGAGAAUAUUUUCAGCUUGCUCUGCUAUCAGGAUAGGCCAGUGGGAGUUGUUAAAACCCAAAGUAGCAAAGACUCAAAUUUCCUUCUGGGAAGUGUAGGUGAUGGUCAAAUCAGCUCUGGAGGUCAGCAUCUCAACUUGAGAUGGCCAAGCAAGAAAUAAGGCAAAAGUGGACAGGUAGUUCCUUCCAUCCAGCACCACAGACAGUGGGGGAACUAGAGUUUGGUUCUAAAGGCAAACAAGCUGUGGUCUCCUCACCUGACAGUAUCUAUACCGUGUAGCUGAGUCACAGACAUUUUUAAACACUAAAUGUAUCUGGACUUUUCUGUACUCUUCUCUCCAUGAAAACACACGCAAGCAAAAAAUAACCCCGAAACAAAAUAAAACUUAAAAGGACUAAUUCUUGAAUUUGCAGUACAGGUACAAGUGAUCCAACAAAUUUAUUUAAUCAGUGCUGAUAAGCAGCAGCCUUGAGAGAUACCAAGAGCAGCAAUCACCUGGUCUACUUAAUGAUGCUCUCCCAGUUACCUCUUACAAUCGAAAAGAACGAUUACUGACAGUCACUGAAAUCUUGUGGGCCACAAAUGAUGUGCGCACAUGAUCCUGGAUUUCGAGUCCACCUGAUCUCCCAUUACAGCUGUGAAAGGCAGCAGGCAGUUCUGCUCUUCGCAAUCAGGAACAUAUCUUGCUUUCAGCAUGUGACAGUAACAAAGCAUUGAUGUAAAUGUGCCUCAAAGUGAGAAUUGAAAACAUUAAUAUAAAAAAAGUCAAAUAGAACUAAGUUCUUGAAACUACAUACAAAAACAAUUAUUACAACUAAAGCAGCAAAUCAAAGUAUCUGCUGAGGUUUUCUGGUAGAACUAAAAAAAAAUUAGUUGGUGCCCAUGUUUAAUAUGUCACUACCAUUGACAAAACUAAACCAAAAAUAGGAAAUUGAAAAGUGCAUAAUGAAAUUAAAUCUCGGAUCAAGUAUUUACGGAAAACUGGAAAUGUUUGUCCGGUAUAGUUGACAAAUAAUGAUUUAAAGGAGGUAUUAAAGUUUAUCUGAUCCAGCUUUGGCCUGACGUUCCACAUAAAAAAGGAUGUAGGCCUUUGCCUUCACAACGGUGUCUUCAUCAGUCAGCGUUACAGUACUGUCAUUGAAAUGGAACCAGCGACCUUCAUGAGUUGCAUAUGCUGUAUAAUGUCCAGAACCGACCCUAUAAGGAAACGUAAAAAAAAAUGAAAGAAAAGGACUACAGAAAUAACAGAAGGAUCUGCGCAAUCAUAUAAUCUGUUAGAUAUGCAAUAAAUUAUAAAUACUGUAAUAAAGAAUAAGCCCUAGGGACUUGUGGUUUAAGAUGGCGGACUAAACUCGUGUGUAUGUUCCUCAAAACUCAAGGAAGUAACAAUGAAUGUGCAGGCAUUGGAAAUAGAGGGAAGAGGGCCAUUGAAUGAGCAGGAACUGAAGAUGUUCUACAUCACCUAAAAGCAGUGUUCACAUAGCACUGGGUUAAUGGAAACACCAAAGGGGUCAAGGAGCUCAACCUAACAAGCAUGCGUCUAGGCUUAUGGACACAUGGAAAAGUGAGGAACAGAUUUCCAUCACAACCUUGGAAAAAACCUGAGCUUAAGAAAGUAAUCUGCCUCCAGGAAAGGGCUUUUCUCUUUCAGCAUGACCCACCCACUCAGCCAUACAGUCAGCCCUAUAGUCAGCCCUCCCAGGUGAGAGAAAAGCCUCAGGUAGAACAGACACUUUUCGUAAAUGCUAGAGAAACCCUUACCAUUUAUCAAUAAUAAUCUCAUCAUCUAUUAGGAUUCUAAAUAGCCCCAAAUCAUCAAACCCUUGGGGGGGCAGCGGUGGGGACAUAGUAUGAAAGAAAAGUACUGGGAAGAACAAGCACUUAACCACUAACAAAUUUAAUUCAGAAAACCAAAGAGCUUUAAAAAUUCUUAUUAAUACCAAUGGUUUAAAAAAGAUAGCGCAACCAUAAAACAAAAAUGUUUGUUAGGAAAAGGAGUUACCAGAAAAAUGGGAUUGCCAUGGUAUUAAAAAUGUCAUCUUCAAUUUGGGUACAGAUAAAAUCCAAAUUGGUGAUUUGGAAAAAUAGGCCAUGGCAGUCUUAAAAAACAGAGAUGGAAAUCAUUAAACAACGGUUAAAAUGUGGAAAAGGACCAGAAAAUUCACUAUAUAAUAGUCACCCCUUGUCCUCAGUUUCCCUUUCCAUGGUUCAGUUUACCACAGUCAGCUGCGGUCCAAGAGAUGAUGCUUUCUAAUAUAUUGUCCAAAGGUCAAGAGAAGCCUAACACUGUCACAAUUAUAAUUAAUAUUAUAAUUGUUUAUAAAUUAAGCUAUCUAGGUAUGUCUGUAUGUACAUGAAAAAAUAAAGUGUAUAUAUAGGAUUUGUUACUAUGAUUGUAAGCAUCCACUUGGGAGUCUUGGAACGUAUCUUUGCAGAUACGGAGGGAUUGCCACACAUAUAACAGGGAGAGAAUGGGGUGGAACAAACAAUAUUUCCAUGAGCUGAGGACACCAAAGAGUGUCCCUAUCAACUACUAAGCCAGGAAUACAUCUACUAUAAUUUCUUAAAUCCGAAGAGAGAGGAUCCUACAACCUUCCAGUAAGUAAAAAAAGGUUGCCUAUAAAGAGAUGAGAAUCAGACCUGUAGUGGACUUGGCCCUGGAAUGAUGAAGUCAAGGGAGCAAUGUCUACAAAGUUCUGAGGGAAAAGGGUUCUCAACACGGAUAGGGGUUUGUCCAUGUUUAAAAGUAAAAUAGCCAUUCUCAAGGAAUCAGAAAGCAUAAACUAAUAACAAAAUUACCAGAAAAAAAUUAUUCAAUAAAAUAAAAAAAUCUUUAAACAGAUGAUAUGAAGUAAGUUACUCCAAAUAAUUUCCCAUUUUCCCCCAAUUUAAAAGUCAAAUGGCAAAGGAAAUAAACAACUUUGGAGUAAAGCCUACUGAGGAUUUUGUGGACAAAUAGGUUCUCAAUGCUGAGCUCAAAUGAACCCUUCUCCAUUUUGCUUUCAUGUGCCUUUUCUUCUAACUUCACAACAUCCUCUCCAGAACAUUCUUUGACACCACGACUGAAAGAAAGUUCUACCUCACCUGUGUUAUGUAUCUGAAACCAUUUUUUUUUUAAUUUUUUUUUUUUCAACGUUUAUUUAUUUUUGGGAGAGAGAGAGACAGAGCAUGAAUGGGGGAGGGGCAGAGAGAGAGGGAGACACAGAAUCGGAAACAGGCUCCAGGCUCUGAGCCAUCAGCCCAGAGCCUGACGCGGGGCUCGAACUCACAGACCGCGAGAUAGUGACCUGGCUGAAGUCGGACGCUUAACCGACUGCGCCACCCAGGUGCCCCUCUGAAACCAUUUUUAAGGAGUUGACGGAGAAUAAUCAAGAGUGGUGCAAAAUUGCAGGUCUUCGCUGUGCUUUUUAUUUAUUUAUUUUUUUUAGCGUUUACUUAUUUUUUGAGACAGAGACAGAGUGUGAGUGGGGAAGGGGCAGAGAGAAAGGGAGACACAGAAUCAGAAGCAGGCUCCAGGCUCUGAGCUGUCAGCAUACACCCUGACGUGGGGCUCGAACCCACAAACUGUGAGAUUAUGACCUGAGCUGAGGCUGGAAGCUUAACUGACUGAGCCACCAAGGUGCCCCUUUGCUGUGCUUUUCGAAAACCAACCAUAAGAAAAGCCACUGACACACUUACCCAGAACCAUGGUGCACCACCACAGCAGCAAGGUCAUACAGGCAGCUCUCUGGGCCACUGUUCUCAGGCUAUAGAACAAGGGAGAAGACAUCCAGGACUGAGUUAGGAGCAGGGGUCAGUGACACCCUAGCUCCUAUCAAUGUGAAGACUUAAUUUUAAUGAAAAGCCAUCUUAGCACCUCCUAGCAAAGGUAAUUAAUUUACCAUACCUCUAGUAAGUAGCAUUUCAUGUCUAGGCCUCUCAAUGGAAAUUCUACAUAGGUAUCAACUUUGUUUCUUAAAUAUGCAGUCCAGUGAAAUCGUUUCAGAUGUAAGCAUAGUACCUGGAUGAGAGAUAAGGACAAAGAUUGUAAAACAAAACAAAACAAAACAAAAACACCUAAUUUCCCUUUCAGUAAAAUUAGCUACUUGGUACUAAUACCUCUCAGUAAUAUUUUAGGUGGCCUAUCAGUUCUUUUUUUUUUUUUUUUGAACCUUGAUAGUACUUUCUUCCACAUACCUUAUGAUAUUGUGAUUUAUAAUAAAUAUAACACCUGAAAUUAAUACAACACUGUAGUUAACUGACUGGAAAUAAAAACUAGAAAAUAUAUAUGCUAAGGGUUUAGGAGCUGUAUGGAAAGGGGGUUAAGACCUAAUAUACACAUAUAUAUAUGUUAUAUACAUAUAUAUAUAUUAUAUACAUAUAUAUAUUAUAUACACUAUGUAUUUUCUAAAAUAAUUAUAUAUACUUUAUAUAAUGUUAUAUAUUUAAUUAGACUUAUAUAGUGUAUAUAUAUUAUAUAUGUAUUUCCACACAGCUCCUAAACUGUUAGAAUUUCCAAAGGGAUGGCCAUAUAGGUGUCUUUGUUAUGCCAAUAAGGUAACUUGUUGACUGCCUCAAAGGAUCAGGCGUGAUUGCCAGGGGUCCAAUCAUGUAAUUACAGAAUUGGAACCUUCAAUCUCCCCAACCCAACUCUCCAGGUAGGGCAGAGGGGCUGAAAGUUGAACAACUGCCAACAGCCAAUGACUUAAUCAGCCAUGCCUAUGUAAUGAAGGCUCCAUAAAAAUCCUAAAGGAGAGGUUUGGAGAGCUUCCAGAUGGGGAACCAGAACACUUCAAAGUGCUACUGUGCCAGGCCCAAACUCCACAAGGACAGAAGCUCCUCUGUUCAGGACCCUGCCCUAUGCAUCUCCUCAUAUACAUGUCUAGCCUGUUGGGCAGAAGCAUAAAGUAACAAGCUGCAUUUGCUGGGCUUCUGAAGCAGAGGUAGUCUUAUGGGACUGAGCCCUGAACCUGUGGAAUCUGAUCACUAUCACCGGCUUUGACAGUGUCAGAGUUGCACUGAAUUGUAGGACACCCAGCUGGCUGCUUAGCAGUGGUGUGAUAGGAAACCAUCCUCUCCACAUACUGGAAAUUGUGAUCAGGACACAUUAAUUAUACAUUCUCAAAGGGUUUAUUUACCUCUUGGUGAAAACUCUAGAGACCAAUAUAGAAUAGAUCACAUAGGCUAAAGUUACAAAAAUAAUUUGUCUUCUCAUCAAUCAUAAACAUUUUUCCCCUCAAAAUUGCAUAAUUUGAAACUCCAUGCUUACCUUGGGUAGUUUCUGAAUCCAAAACUUUUUAGUGGAUUUUUGUUUCUUUUUGCAUUUGUGGCACAUAUAUAACUCUGUCUCAUCGAGUUCUUCUAAGUCAGUAAAACUGCGAAGACAAUCUAAAACCAAAUUGAUUUUGGCGACAUUAAAACAGAAAGCCUUCUAUAGAGACAGUGUGCUAUAGAAAACAGACUGAACUUUGAAGCUGGACAACUAUGGCUCAAAUCUCAGCUUUAUUAACUUUGUGACCUUGGAAAAGUCAGCCUUUCUUGGUUGCAAAAUGGAUACCAAAAAACCCCAAACAAACCCACUCUGAAGAACUGCUGUGAGGAAAAUAACGUGUGAAGUUUCUGGCCAUCAUGUCUGACAUCUGGUAGUGAUCAGCUAACAACAGGUGAUACGGUUAUUGGGUUUGUUGCUUUUAAUGAAGAAUUAGUCUGGAUCAUUUUGAUGAAAAUGGUUUCCUUAAAUCCAAGUUUGAGCAGCAACUUUCUCUCAAUGUCUUACGUUAUAGUUGGACAAAGUCAGAUCCAACAUUUUCAGUCAUAACUUACUUAAAAAAACAUGGAUUGCAGGAAACGACAUUAAUGACCUUCCUACUAUACCUCCAGUGAAUCCUUUGUUCC